GUCAAGUCAUCAUGCCCCUUAUGUCCAGGGCUUCACGCAUGCUACAAUGGCCGGUACAGAGGGCUGCGAUGUCGUGAGGCGGAGCGAAUCUCUUAAAGCCGGUCUCAGUUCGGAUCGGGGUCUGCAACUCGCCUGCAUGAAGCCGGAGUUGCUAGUAACCGCGCAUCAACAGUGGCGCGGUGAAUACGUUCCCGGGCCUU
RNAcentral lists this ribosomal RNA (200 nucleotides) under uncultured organism. RNAcentral's name for it is "partial small subunit ribosomal RNA". It matches the Rfam family "Bacterial small subunit ribosomal RNA", at positions 1184 to 1382 of the family's 1533-position model. The record is from RNAcentral.